AGUGCUUGAUAAUAUUGUAACUUCAGUUGAAAAUAAAGUUACUGCUAAUGAAGUGUUGGAAAAUAUUGUUAAUUUAGUUGAAAAUCAAAUAACAGCUACUGAAGUGUUAGAAAAUAUUGUUAAUUCAGCUGAAGAUCAGAUAACAACUGAAGAAGGUAAUCUAAGUUAAAAUAGUUAUAAUAUAGUUUGUUAUUUUCAAAUGGAAAAUUAAAAUGAAAGAAAGUAGCUUAAAUGAAUUAAUAUUUCUUUAUUUGUGUGCAUUCUUAAUAUUAACAUAUAUUUCUGAAUUGCAUUUUCAUGUGGCUAUGUGAAGUAAAUGUCAUAAUUGAAUUUCUUAGAACACCAAAAAUCAUCUCUUAAUUUGAAAACC
Molecule: long non-coding RNA, 370 nt
Organism: Centruroides sculpturatus (bark scorpion)
Lineage: Eukaryota; Metazoa; Arthropoda; Arachnida; Scorpiones; Buthidae
Exons: 3
Source: RefSeq, a predicted model, not a curated record